RNAcentral lists this ribosomal RNA (711 nucleotides) under uncultured Alphaproteobacteria bacterium. RNAcentral's name for it is "bacterial SSU rRNA". It matches the Rfam family "Bacterial small subunit ribosomal RNA", at positions 28 to 775 of the family's 1533-position model. Lineage: Bacteria; Pseudomonadati; Pseudomonadota; Alphaproteobacteria. The record is from RNAcentral.
AACGAACGCUGGCGGCAUGCCUAACACAUGCAAGUCGAACGAGGGCCCCGCUUCGGUGGGACCCUAGUGGCGCACGGGUGAGUAACGCGUGGGAACCUGCCCUGUGGUACGGAAUAACUCCGGGAAACUGGAGCUAAUACCGUAUGUGUCUUGAGGGACAAAGAUUUAUCGCCAUGGGAUGGGCCCGCGUAGGAUUAGCUUGUUGGUGGGGUAACGGCCUACCAAGGCAACGAUCCUUAGCUGGUCUGAGAGGAUGAUCAGCCACACUGGGACUGAGACACGGCCCAGACUCCUACGGGAGGCAGCAGUGGGGAAUAUUGGACAAUGGGCGCAAGCCUGAUCCAGCAAUGCCGCGUGAGUGAUGAAGGCCUUCGGGUUGUAAAGCUCUUUCGCACGCGACGAUGAUGACGGUAGCGUGAGAAGAAGCCCCGGCUAACUUCGUGCCAGCAGCCGCGGUAAUACGAAGGGGGCUAGCGUUGUUCGGAAUUACUGGGCGUAAAGGGCGCGUAGGCGGUACUUCAAGUCAGGCGUGAAAGCCCCGGGCUCAACCUGGGAACCGCGCUUGAGACUGGAGAACUAGAGUUCGGGAGAGGAUGGUGGAAUUCCCAGUGUAGAGGUGAAAUUCGUAGAUAUUGGGAAGAACACCGAUGGCGAAGGCAGCCAUCUGGACCGACACUGACGCUGAGGCGCGAAAGCGUGGGGAGCAAACAG